This 408-nucleotide ribosomal RNA is filed under the name Triticum aestivum (bread wheat). RNAcentral describes it as "partial small subunit ribosomal RNA". The record is from RNAcentral. Lineage: Eukaryota; Viridiplantae; Streptophyta; Magnoliopsida; Poales; Poaceae.
AUGAUCCUACGAGACGACAGAGGCGAGAUCAUCUAUAGCGCCUGUAGGGAGCUACGCACAUGUGAGAAUGCCCUUGAGGCGGAGCUAGCGACGUGCAGAGAAGGCCUGGAGUUGGCUUUAUACCGCACGAACCUACCGAUCAUGGUCGCGAUGGACAACACGGAGGCGGUGGCCAUGCUUACAGGACGUCACCGGGACAGAUUGGUUCAUCGUGCACUAGUAGAGGAGAUUUGCAGAAUGUCUAGUCUCGCUACUAGGGAGAUUUCUUUUAUGCACUGUUUCCGCUCUCAGAACUCUGUUAGUCAUGAGCUGGCCGCCUAUGGCCGUAGCACGCCGCGCACAACAGUAUGGUUGGCUGGCGGUAUGGACCAUGUUGUAAAUCUGGCUAUGGCUGAGAAGCCCCCGUAA